UGCCUAUACAUGCAGUCGAACGAACUCUGGUAUUGAUUGGUGCUUGCAUCAUGAUUUACAUUUGAGUGAGUGGCGAACUGGUGAGUAACACGUGGGAAACCUGCCCAGAAGCGGGGGAUAACACCUGGAAACAGAUGCUAAUACCGCAUAACAACUUGGACCGCAUGGUCCGAGCUUGAAAGAUGGCUUCGGCUAUCACUUUUGGAUGGUCCCGCGGCGUAUUAGCUAGAUGGUGGGGUAACGGCUCACCAUGGCAAUGAUACGUAGCCGACCUGAGAGGGUAAUCGGCCACAUUGGGACUGAGACACGGCCCAAACUCCUACGGGAGGCAGCAGUAGGGAAUCUUCCACAAUGGACGAAAGUCUGAUGGAGCAACGCCGCGUGAGUGAAGAAGGGUUUCGGCUCGUAAAACUCUGUUGUUAAAGAAGAACAUAUCUGAGAGUAACUGUUCAGGUAUUGACGGUAUUUAACCAGAAAGCCACGGCUAACUACGUGCCAGCAGCCGCGGUAAUACGUAGGUGGCAAGCGUUGUCCGGAUUUAUUGGGCGUAAAGCGAGCGCAGGCGGUUUUUUAAGUCUGAUGUGAAAGCCUUCGGCUCAACCGAAGAAGUGCAUCGGAAACUGGGAAACUUGAGUGCAGAAGAGGACAGUGGAACUCCAUGUGUAGCGGUGAAAUGCGUAGAUAUAUGGAAGAACACCAGUGGCGAAGGCGGCUGUCUGGUCUGUAACUGACGCUGAGGCUCGAAAGUAUGGGUAGCAAACAGGAUUAGAUACCCUGGUAGUCCAUACCGUAAACGAUGAAUGCUAAGUGUUGGAGGGUUUCCGCCCUUCAGUGCUGCAGCUAACGCAUUAAGCAUUCCGCCUGGGGAGUACGGCCGCAAGGCUGAAACUCAAAGGAAUUGACGGGGGCCCGCACAAGCGGUGGAGCAUGUGGUUUAAUUCGAAGCUACGCGAAGAACCUUACCAGGUCUUGACAUACUAUGCAAAUCUAAGAGAUUAGACGUUCCCUUCGGGGACAUGGAUACAGGUGGGUGCAGGGUUGUCGUCAGCUCGUGUCGUGAGAAGUUUGGGGUUAAGUCCCGCAACGAGCGCAACCCUUAUUAUCAGUUGCCAGCAUUAAGUUGGGCACUCUGGUGAGACUGCCGGUGACAACCCGAGGAAGAGGGGGGGGAUGAAGGCCAAAUCAUCAUGGCCCCUUAUAACCGGGGGUACAACCUGGUCCAAAUGA
This 1227-nucleotide ribosomal RNA is filed under the name Lactiplantibacillus plantarum. RNAcentral's name for it is "bacterial SSU rRNA". It matches the Rfam family "Bacterial small subunit ribosomal RNA", at positions 45 to 1234 of the family's 1533-position model. The record is from RNAcentral. Lineage: Bacteria; Bacillati; Bacillota; Bacilli; Lactobacillales; Lactobacillaceae.